This 500-nucleotide ribosomal RNA is filed under the name Shewanella sp. R5-Lam-T4-16. Its description in RNAcentral is "bacterial SSU rRNA". It matches the Rfam family "Bacterial small subunit ribosomal RNA", at positions 11 to 498 of the family's 1533-position model. The record is from RNAcentral. Lineage: Bacteria; Pseudomonadati; Pseudomonadota; Gammaproteobacteria; Alteromonadales; Shewanellaceae.
GUUUGAUUCCCGCUCAGAUUGAACGCUGGCGGCAGGCCUAACACAUGCAAGUCGAGCGGUAACAGAGAGUAAGCUUGCUUACUUUGCUGACGAGCGGCGGACGGGUGAGUAAUGCCUAGGGAUCUGCCCAGUCGAGGGGGAUAACAGUUGGAAACGACUGCUAAUACCGCAUACGCCCUACGGGGGAAAGGAGGGGACCUUCGGGCCUUCCGCGAUUGGAUGAACCUAGGUGGGAUUAGCUAGUUGGUGAGGUAAUGGCUCACCAAGGCGACGAUCCCUAGCUGUUCUGAGAGGAUGAUCAGCCACACUGGGACUGAGACACGGCCCAGACUCCUACGGGAGGCAGCAGUGGGGAAUAUUGCACAAUGGGGGAAACCCUGAUGCAGCCAUGCCGCGUGUGUGAAGAAGGCCUUCGGGUUGUAAAGCACUUUCAGUAGGGAGGAAAGGUGGUAGUUUAAUAAACUAUCACUGUGACGUUACCUACAGAAGAAGGACCGGCU